ACUUAUAUUCUGUAGCAAGGUUAACCGAAUAGGGGAGCCGGAGGGAAACCGAGUCUUAAUUGGGCGUUAAGUUGCAGGGUAUAGACCCGAAACCCGGUGAUCUAGCCAUGGGCAGGUUGAAGGUUGGGUAACACUAACUGGAGGACCGAACCGACUAAUGUUGAAAAAUUAGCGGAUGACCUGUGGCUGGGGGUGAAAGGCCAAUCAAACCGGGAGAUAGCUGGUUCUCCCCGAAAGCUAUUUAGGUAGCGCCUCGUGAAUUCAUCUCCGGGGGUAGAGCACUGUUUCGGCUAGGGGGCCAUCCCGGCUUACCAACCCGAUGCAAACUGCGAAUACCGGAGAAUGUUAUCACGGGAGACACACGGCGGGUGCUAACGUCCGUCGUGAAGAGGGAAACAACCCAGACCGCCAGCUAAGGUCCCAAAGUCAUAGUUAAGUGGGAAACGAUGUGGGAAGGCCCAGACAGCCAGGAUGUUGGCUUAGAAGCAGCCAUCAUUUAAAGAAAGCGUAAUAGCUCACUGGUCGAGUCGGCCUGCGCGGAAGAUGUAACGGGGCUAAACUAUGCACCGAAGCUGCGGCAGCGACACUAUGUGUUGUUGGGUAGGGGAGCGUUCUGUAAGCCUGUGAAGGUGUGUCGUGAGGCAUGCUGGAGGUAUCAGAAGUGCGAAUGCUGACAUAAGUAACGAUAAAGCGGGUGAAAAGCCCGCUCGCCGGAAGACCAAGGGUUCCUGUCCAACGUUAAUCGGGGCAGGGUGAGUCGACCCCUAAGGCGAGGCCGAAAGGCGUAGUCGAUGGGAAACGGGUUAAUAUUCCCGUACUUGGUGUUACUGCGAAGGGGGGACGGAGAAGGCUAUGUUGGCCGGGCGACGGUUGUCCCGGUUUAAGCGUGUAGGUGUGUGUUCCAGGUAAAUCCGGUUCACUUUAACACUGAGGCGUGA
This 938-nucleotide ribosomal RNA is filed under the name Salmonella enterica. Its description in RNAcentral is "partial 23S ribosomal RNA". It matches the Rfam family "Bacterial large subunit ribosomal RNA", at positions 626 to 1566 of the family's 2925-position model. Lineage: Bacteria; Pseudomonadati; Pseudomonadota; Gammaproteobacteria; Enterobacterales; Enterobacteriaceae. The record is from RNAcentral.